UACGGGGGGGGCAAGCGUUGGUCGGAAUUACUGGGCGUAAAGGGCUCGUAGGCGGCUAACUAAGUCGGACGUGAAAUCCCCAGGCUCAACCUGGGAACUGCGUCCGAUACUGGAUGGCUUGAAUCCGGGAGAGGGAUGCAGAAUUCCAGGUGUAGCGGUGAAAUGCGUAGAUAUCUUGAGGAAUACCGGUGGCGAAGGCGGCAUCCUGGACCGGCAUUGACGCUGAGGAGCGAAAGCCAGGGGAGCAAACGGG
This 253-nucleotide ribosomal RNA is filed under the name uncultured bacterium. RNAcentral's name for it is "partial 16S ribosomal RNA". It matches the Rfam family "Bacterial small subunit ribosomal RNA", at positions 524 to 776 of the family's 1533-position model. The record is from RNAcentral.